This 321-nucleotide ribosomal RNA is filed under the name uncultured Pseudomonadota bacterium. RNAcentral describes it as "bacterial SSU rRNA". It matches the Rfam family "Bacterial small subunit ribosomal RNA", at positions 30 to 351 of the family's 1533-position model. Lineage: Bacteria; Pseudomonadati; Pseudomonadota. The record is from RNAcentral.
AUUGAACGCUGGCGGCAUGCCUUACACAUGCAAGUCGAACGGCAGCACGGACUUCGGUCUGGUGGCGAGUGGCGAACGGGUGAGUAAUGUAUCGGAACGUACCAUUCAGUGGGGGAUAACGUAGCGAAAGUUACGCUAAUACCGCAUAUUCUCUCCGGAGGAAAGCAGGGGACCGCAAGGCCUUGCGCUGAUUGAGCGGCCGAUAUCAGAUUAGCUAGUUGGUGGGGUAACGGCUCACCAAGGCGACGAUCUGUAGCGGGUCUGAGAGGAUGAUCCGCCACACUGGAACUGAGACACGGUCCAGACUCCUACGGGAGGCAG